Molecule: transfer RNA, 73 nt
Filed under: Bos taurus (domestic cattle)
Lineage: Eukaryota; Metazoa; Chordata; Mammalia; Artiodactyla; Bovidae
Also listed under: 2 other names
Rfam family: tRNA
About the family: Transfer RNA (tRNA) molecules are approximately 80 nucleotides in length. Their secondary structure includes four short double-helical elements and three loops (D, anti-codon, and T loops).
Source: Rfam by way of RNAcentral
UCCUUGGCAGUCUAGUGGUUCAGACUCUGAGCUUUCACUGCAGAGGAUGUGGGUUCAAUCCCUGCUCAGGGAA